This 1094-nucleotide long non-coding RNA is filed under the name Scophthalmus maximus (turbot). RNAcentral describes it as "lncRNA (ENSSMAG00000026868.1)". Lineage: Eukaryota; Metazoa; Chordata; Actinopteri; Pleuronectiformes; Scophthalmidae. The record is from RNAcentral.
AGGGCGCAGCGCCGCUCACUUCACCCCCCUCGCCCCCUCCAGCCGCCCCUGCUCAGUGGGUGCUCGCCUCCUCGUCCCCAGUCGCACGGAAAGUUGAAGGACUACAUCGCGUUAGAUCACCGCAAAAAAAAAAUGGGUGACUGGCCACAUCCAGGUGAUGAGGACUGCAUCCCUGUGUGAGAGAGACGAAGAAGACGAAGAGGAAGAAGAAGAAGAAGAAGGAGGAGGAGGAGAAAGACAAAUCAUGAGAUGUCUUUGGAAGCCAUAAAUUGUUGAAGACUUUUUCAUUUUUUUUUUUUUUUUAAAUUUCGCUUUCAACGCUGAGGAGAGGCGCUUUUAUUUUGACCUGUGCGCCAAAGAAAAAGAAGAGGGAGGGGGGAGGGGGAAAUGGUAAGAAGCAAACGAAAUAAUAAGUUUAUUUCUAUCUAAGGACGUUGAUGUUGCUUUCAUGCUGCAGCUCCCGACUCAAGACUAGACACGAUUAAUACAGUAAACACCCCUGACUAUGUUGCACAUAGAUCGAUCAAAUAGGAUAUUAUAAGACCCCCCGGGUGCUGCGGGGUGUGAUGGGUGUCAGACAGCCGGUUUGUUUUCACACACCACCCCGAGGCACCUCCUUUCCUUUUUUCCUUCUUCUUCUUCCCCAUCCUCGGAGCAGUGCAGCCAACAGUGUGGUGAUGAGGAGAAUCGGCGCAGCGGCGGAGCGGGCGGGAUGCGAGAAGUUGCUUCGUCCACACUCCGCUCUUUUCUGGUGCCACCGCAGCCCACUCUUCUGUGUGUAUUUCUGUGCAGGGGAUAUAACGCGUGCCCGUGUCUUUCCCAUGUCAGGUGGCGUCGCGCGGACUACGACAGUUCCCCAUUGACAUGGGCACCGGCGCGGAGAGGAGGACAGACUGCGUGGCGAGUCGCGCGUCCUUCUGCUGAGAGAGUUUGGCACCGCGAGCGAACAGAGACAUGGGGCCGCUCCGGUGCGUCGUGGGACUCACCGCGCUUCUCCUGUGCACAGAACGCCGUCGUGUUAUCUGACACGAAAUCAAGCAAGUGGACGGAACUUUGGGAAGUUUCCGCCUGCACAAGCACAAACUGAGCCGUCG